RNAcentral lists this long non-coding RNA (1129 nucleotides) under Androctonus crassicauda. The record is from RNAcentral. Lineage: Eukaryota; Metazoa; Arthropoda; Arachnida; Scorpiones; Buthidae.
UUUUUUUUUUUUUUAUUUUAGAUUUUUUGCUUGGAUUUAUUGUAUUUUUUUUUUUUUUUUUUUGUUUGGAUUUCUCGUUUUUAUUAUAAUAAGUCAGUAACAUAAAUCAAUAAUAGAGUCCAUAUUUUUAAAGAAGUUAAUUGGCUAACUAACAUCAUCUUCCAAUUUGGAGACUCUAAUUCUUCUAAUCUGAUGUCACAUGUUAACAGAUAUUACAUCAUCAUCAUUAGAUAAUAUUCUUUUUCCAUCCAAUUCAUAAUACACUGUACAGUUUACUUACUGCAUAUGAUAUAUAUAAUAAAUUUGCAAUAGACCUAUGGCUGAUAUUUUUGUUGAAUUAAAAUGGCAUUUCAGGUGUGGGGCCUAAUACAGUUGCAUCAAUCCAAAACUGGCCCAGAUUCCAUCUGCUAUAUUGCUAAUAUCCUAAUGCCAAUUCUCCCCAGUGUUAUGUUAGUACUGCUAGUUCCCCUUGUGGAUCCUUUGGGACAGGCAUUGGGCCUAUUGCGGUUGUGUGGUAUUUUACGCGAGUAAGAAUGGCAGAGCAAGAAUUUCUGACACAGUAACUGAGAACAACAACAAUUUAAUCAAACAUGAAUCUUUUAUUGAGAGAGAGAGAAAAUACUAAUACAAAGAGGAUACAAAGACGUGAUGGAGGAUAAAUUCAUGGGUGAAGAGAACAAAUAGAGUUGUCUUUAUCUUAAGGCUGAUAAUGAUGCAUAAUGCACAACAAUCUUUAGUCCACUAGCACUUUUUCACAGAAUUCACUAGGUCAUCAGUAUGGAAGCUGUUAAGACAGACUCUUCAAUUACUAAACUUGCCAUCCAGAGGUAGCUGUUAAGACAGGCUCUCUCAGAGAUAGGCAACCAUCUGCUCGAUGUUUUGUAACUCACUCUCAAAAAUCGGCAACUGACUGACUUCUGUCCAAAUGUUUCAAAAGACUCCCUCUCUCUAUAAACUCUCUUCCCCUGGGAAAGAGACACUUAGAUCGUCUUUCACCUUUGUUAGAUUCCUUUUUCUACCGUUAUCACAUUACUUGCAUGUCACCCGAUUCUUUAUGAAAUCAUAUUUCUUAAUGAUUUCAUUGUUCUCCCUCUGUUGUGGAGGACAGAAUACAUUGGGCCAACUGGAA